This 77-nucleotide transfer RNA is filed under the name uncultured Eubacteriales bacterium. Its description in RNAcentral is "uncultured Clostridiales bacterium tRNA-Arg". It matches the Rfam family "tRNA". Rfam says of the family: Transfer RNA (tRNA) molecules are approximately 80 nucleotides in length. The record is from RNAcentral. Lineage: Bacteria; Bacillati; Bacillota; Clostridia; Eubacteriales.
GCGCCUGUAGCUCAAUAGGAUAGAGCGCACCCCUCCUAAGGGUGAGGCUGGGGGUUCGAUUCCCUUCAGGCGUGCCA